This 253-nucleotide ribosomal RNA is filed under the name uncultured bacterium. RNAcentral describes it as "partial 16S ribosomal RNA". It matches the Rfam family "Bacterial small subunit ribosomal RNA", at positions 524 to 776 of the family's 1533-position model. The record is from RNAcentral.
UACGUAGGGUGCAAGCGUUAAUCGGACUUACUGGGCGUAAAGCGUGCGCAGGCGGUUAUAUAAGACAGAUGUGAAAUCCCCGGGCUCAACCUGGGAACUGCAUUUGUGACUGUAUAGCUAGAGUACGGUAGAGGGGGAUGGAAUUCCGCGUGUAGCAGUGAAAUGCGUAGAUAUGCGGAGGAACACCGAUGGCGAAGGCAAUCCCCUGGACCUGUACUGACGCUCAUGCACGAAAGCGUGGGGAGCAAACAGG